RNAcentral lists this ribosomal RNA (429 nucleotides) under uncultured bacterium. RNAcentral describes it as "bacterial SSU rRNA". It matches the Rfam family "Bacterial small subunit ribosomal RNA", at positions 355 to 776 of the family's 1533-position model. The record is from RNAcentral.
UAGGGAAUCUUGCGCAAUGCGCGAAAGCGUGACGCAGCAACGCCGCGUGGGGGAAGAAGGCUCUCGGGUUGUAAACCCCUUUCAGUUGGGACGAAGCUCCGUCGGUUAAUAGCCGCCUGGAGUGACGGUACCUUCACAAGAAGCACCGGCUAACUACGUGCCAGCAGCCGCGGUAAUACGUAGGGUGCAAGCGUUGUCCGGAAUUAUUGGGCGUAAAGAGCGUGUAGGCGGUCCGAUCAGUCCGCUGUGAAAGUCCAGGGCUCAACCCUGGGAUGCCGGUGGAUACUGUCGGACUAGAGUCCGGAAGAGGCGAGUGGAAUUCCUGGUGUAGCGGUGAAAUGCGCAGAUAUCAGGAGGAACACCAAUGGCGAAGGCAGCUCGCUGGGACGGUACUGACGCUGAGACGCGAAAGCGUGGGGAGCAAACAGG